Molecule: non-coding RNA, 5828 nt
Organism: Podarcis lilfordi (Lilford's wall lizard)
Lineage: Eukaryota; Metazoa; Chordata; Lepidosauria; Squamata; Lacertidae
Source: the annotation of a GenBank genome assembly
AAAGAUAGCUCAGCUAUCAGUAGCAGCAGGACUUGUGGGGAACUUGUGGUCCUUCAGAUGUUGGCAGACUCCACCUCACAUUAGCUCACAGCCCGCGUGUCCAGUCACCAGGGCUGCUGGAGUUGUAGUCCAGCCAUAUCUUGAGGACAAUGAGUUCCACCAUCCAUGGGUUACAGAAUCUGUGUCUGAAGCACUUUUUUGAGUAACCAAGCUGGGUCUGAGCUGUGACAAGAUGCUCUCACAGACGUGGAAUUCCACUGGAAUGCGUGAAAUGCCGUACUGGGACUUCCGGGUUAGCGCCUCCGGCAAUGGCGGAAUUCCUCUGAUCGGGAGGAAUCUGCUCCGUGGAAAUCAGGGUCUGGCCGCCACGGCGAAGGCGGAGACCCACUAAAAACCACAGGCGGGAGAAGCUUGUGGACGUGGGAUUCGGCUGGCACCUUUUGCGCCUCCCCUACUCGCGGGGAAACCCGGUUUCGGGGUUCCGGAGCGACGUGGGGUGAGUGGCGCGGUGUUUCGACUCGACUGCUUCUUUCACGGAGUGAAGCCGCAUUGCUGUUGCUGGAGAGCGCUGACUUUUUCCUGUGGACAAUUUGAUCUUAAAACAACUACCCGUGAGUAGAACGGAAAAUUGGAUUUUUAAACGUCUUAAUUUGGCACCGAAACGGGGAGGUUUCAAACAGGAAGUCCGCCUUCCCCUUUUGUAAAUAGAUUGAAGCAAAGAGGCUGCAAGCUAAAGCCUUGGAAAGUCUCUCAUAAAGGAUUAAACUUCCAUCGGUUAAAUCAUCAAACCCCCCUUGGAAGCAGGAGAAGAGGGGGGAAAUUUAAGAUCGCGUAAGCCUGCAGGAGAGAGUGAAGAAAGUCAAAUUACCACCGCUCUGAACCUGGAAACGGGCUGCUAGUAAGAUUGAAGUUUUGGAUAUGCUCAUUGACUGUGAAUAGAUCGUCUGCUGACAGUAAGUUAAAGAAGAGAAAUACAUUGUUUCCAUUGUCUCCUUCUGCGUUUAAAAAGGAGUAAAAGUAACUGAAAAUUGAAACUAACUUUAUUGUUUGAACUGUGCUUAAAAGGAUUGAUACAAAUAGAAAUUGUUUCCCUCUAGAGGAAGCCUUUGAAAUUGUUACAAGAGCUGAGCUGGGGGAAUUCCCACCUGCAAGAUAAAACUGUGAGAAUCUGGGAUUGACCUUGAACCGUUAAGAAUGUUGACAGAAGAAGCCUUAGUGGUUGCAUUUUGUAAGAUUAAUGAUUCACUGGAACAGCUUUAUAAGAAGACGGAUGCGAGGACUAUAAAAAUUGAUAACUUGGAACAAAAAGUGAUUAAUUUGGCACAAAAAGUCAAUAUCAAUACAGAAAUUAUUCAGGAAUCGAUACAGGGAUCUAUUUUGACAUGGCAAAUUGAGGAGAAGGCGGGGGAGAAAGCUUUUGCUGUGGAACCUAAAGUGGCACAAGUGGUGAGGGAGAGAGCCCCAGCCUUACAGUUGCAAUUUGAUGAUUAUAAGUUGAUGCCUUUCAAGACUGAAUUUAGAGAAAGUCAGACUUUUAGGAUUGGAGCCCCGCUUGGACUGGAGAAAGAAAGUUGGAUAGAUCCCCUCAUGCAGGGGUUUAUUGACCUUUGGGACCUGGACUUGGGUCAGGAGGAGACUGGAGUUGUGGGGACCGCCAGACUUGGAGGAACUUUGAAACACGACUGGAAAUAUCUUUUGAAUUUCAGUUCUAACUAUGGAGAUUUGGCUGACUUGUCGAGAAGGAAUAAAAACAUUGCUAGAUGGGAAUUUCCCGGAGAUCUACUUUUCAGUAUCAAAGGAAGGAAAAUAAGAACAAGAUCAGGAGAAGACAAAGUAAAGUGCAUGUAUAAACAUGAAGAAGACUUGCAGAAGGGACCUGGAAAAGAGUUAAGAGCCUCAGACAGAAGAUCACCAGGUUGAUGGGCUAUAUGGAAUUGACGGAAAUGACUGGCAGAACCCGAGACCAGGGAGAAGAGACGGUGGAAGAAUAUUGGAAAAAGUUUAAAUCUAUAUAUGGAAAUAAUGUAAAAUUAAUGAGUGUUAGAAAAAUGUUGGAAGGGAAUUAUACGGCUUUAGUAGAAAUAUUUUAAGGAAUUAAGUAUAAAUAAGUAUUAUAGUAUUAAUGGAAAAUAAGGUUAAAAUACGUUAAGAUAAUUACAUGACAGAAAAUAGAGAAAGAUGGAAAGGAUUUGCUGAAACAAUUAAUAGAAAUGGAAUACAAAAAGGGAGGUGAGAGAAGGUCGAUGAAACAAGGGAAUGAAAGAGAGGAUAUUGAGAUGGUAUGAUGUGUGUUUUUUGAAUUGUUUUUGCUUUUGUUUUGUUUAAUGUGUUAAUGUUAAUGUUGCGUUCUGUAUUGUUUAUAUAUUGUAUUGUAUUGUUUUUUCUUUUGCUUUUCUUCUUCUUCUUUUCUUUUUUCUUUUCUUUUCUUCUUCUUCUUGUAAGGUUUAAAAGCAAUAAAUUUUUUUUUUUUAAAAAAAGAAAUGGCGUACUGAAGGGGAAAUGUAAAAUCUCAAAGCUUGCACAGCUUUGCAUAAGCAUUUCCCAAACUUGGGUGUUUUUGGACUACCGAUCUCAUCAUCCCUGACCACUGGUCCUGCUAGCUAGGGAUGAUGGGAGUUGUAGUCCCAAAAUAGCUGGAGACCCAAGUUUGGGAAACACUGGUUUAGAUGAACUGGGAGUUUUGCCUGCUUAGAAAUCUUCCUAUUAACUACACAGAAAAAAACAAAUAGCCAUCUCUGCUGAUUCUAUAAUUUAAUGUUUGGGUGCCUCAUGUCUCUCUCUCUCUCUCUCUCUCUCUCUCUCUCUCUCUCUCUGGUGUUCUUCCUACUUCUGGAGUUAGAAUUCCACCCUUUGCUACCUCAUUGAAAAAACAAUACCACGUUUUUGCAUUUGCAGAGCUGCACCCUAGUGAAAUGGGGAAACUUGAGAGGGGAGGGAGGAAGUGAAAGUACCAGUGCAUAUACCACAGGCUGCUUCUUAAAUCUACUUGCCUGUGUCUGCAGCUCAUUUUACCACCGCCACCCAUGUUGCCAUUUCCUGUGGGAGUGAGGAGUAGAAAGUUGGCAUCCGCACCACCUUCUCCCAUAGUUGGAGAAAGGUGGUGGCAGUCUCUGAGAUUCAGAGAGAGGUAGGGUGACUUCACAUAGCUGCAAUUCCCAGGAAAGAAGAAUUGACUGUAAACAACUCUGAGAAAUGUAUCUUUAUGAAGGGAGCACGGAUCUCCUAUGAGCUCUCAGCAUCCUUGACAAACUACAGUUUCCAGGAUCCUUUGGGGGAGGUGAUGACUAUUUAGAGUGGUAUGUCUAGUGCAGAUGGGGCCUAUAUCUGGUCUUUAUUGAGCAUUCCUCCAUAUAUGUUUAUAGGAUGGUUAUAUGAUGAUUGCAUUCAUCCUGAUUUACUUAUAGGGUGUUUACUUGCCUUCCCCUUAGUCAUUUGUUCUUUAUACAGUAAUAGUUCAUGAGUGGUAGCUUCAUUCUGCUUUCUUAGUUGCUCUGUGAUGCUUCUCCAAACGUUACUGCACCCCUUGCACUAAUUUCACAAUGAAAGUUGGACAACCUACCCCUCUGGUAAGAAAGUUUUGGUAAGGUUACCAGAUGUCCCCGUUUCCCGGGGACAGUCGCCAGAUUUACAAAUCAGUCCCCAGACAAAAUCCAUCCAUUCUGACUGAAGUUGAAAAGUGAAGUUGAAAAGUCCCCGGAUUCAUUGAAAAAAAAUCUGGUAACCUUAGGUUACCAGAUUUUGGCAGGAAGUUAUGGCAUAUGCAGAUUGGAAAUGAAGCAGUUUUGACCAAUGUAAACAGUACUGAAAGCGGGAUUGUGUAUGACUGCCCCAUCAGCACCACAAGCACAAAUCAUCAUGAAUGUGCAAUAGAAAGGUUGCUUGGUAAAGGUACCCCUGACAAUUAAGUCCAGUCGCAAACGACUCUGGGGUUGCGGCACUCAUCUCGCUUUACAGGCUGAGGGAGCCGCCGUUUGUCCACUUCCACAGAGAGUUUUUCCGGGUCAUGUGGCCAGCAUGACUAAGCUGCUUCUGGCAAACCAGAGCAGCGCACGGAAACACCGUUUACCUUCCCACCAGAGUGGUACCUAUUUAUCUACUUGCACUUUGACGUGCUUUCGAACUGCUAGGUUGGCAAGAGCAGGGACUGAACAACGGGAGCUCACCCCAUCGUGGGGAUUCGAACCACCAACCUUUCGAUCAGCAAGCCCAAGCAGCACAGUGGUUUAAUCGACAUAUCCCUAGGUUGCUUGGAGGACCCCCUAAAAUUCUGGUAUAGGCUUGAAUCCCUCCUGCAAAAAUUCUGUUACAUGCCACCCCUAUCUCUGAGUGGUACAAGAUUCCAGGGGCAACACGUGUGGUUUAAUUAACUUAAUUAACACUUAAAUUCCUAGGAUUUAGAGGUGUCCAAUAUACAACUGGAGAAGUUUGCCUCUGUUAAUCAACUCUUCACACAUGCUAAUUCCAGGGGAUUAAUAGCUAAUACACAUUUAAAUACACAUGAGCCUGGCUACCCAAGGAAAUUACAGCCAGAUCUAAAUUGAAUUCUAGCACCUAUAAAUCUGUAACAAUACUAACCGUUUGGAGGCAGCUCUUCUUCUAUAUGGAUCAGUCAGGCAUGGGUGGUGCAGCUCAGCAAUUUCCUUGUUCCAAAGCACACGUCCCCAAGGAGCUUCCCCACCGCCACCAUUGGGUCUUAAAGGUUGGCCAACAUGCAUUUGGAAUCCCGUAAGCUAUGGUUUUCCCAGUAGUGAUGUAUGGAAGUGAGAGCUGGACAAUAAAGAAGGCCGAUCGCCGAAGAAUCGAUGCUUUUGAAUUAUGGUGCUGGAAGAGACUCUUGAGAGUCCCAUGGACUGCAAGAAGAUCAAACCUAUCCAUUCUGAAGGAAAUCAGCCCUGAGUGCUCACUGGAAGGACAGAUCCUGAAGCUGAGGCGCCAAUACUUUGGCCACCUCAUAAGAAGAGAAGACUCCCUGGAAAAGACCCUGAUGUUGGGGAAGAUGGAGGGCACAAGGAGAAGGGGACGACAGAGGACGAGAUGGUUGGACAGUGUUCUCGAAGCUACCAGCAUGAGUUUGACCAAACUGUGGGAGGCAGUGGAAGACAGGAGUGCCUGGUGUGCUCUGGUCCAUGGGGUCACGAAGAGUCGGACAUGACUAAACGACUAAACAACAACAACAAUGUUGGGGGAAAUUACUUCAGGGGGAGGGUGGCAGGGAAAGAGGUUAUUUACGGCAAGGAAAUCUGCCUCUUCCUCCUCCCCCACCAGGGCCAGAUUUAGGUUUGAUGAGGCCUUAGCUACUGUAGUGAAUGCCAUGUUUGUAUGGGCCGCAAGAUGGCCCAUACAAAAUGGAUGCUGUUAAUAAACUAAUAAAGAACUGUGUUAAUCAAAGAGCUACUGGAAUGUGCAUGUUGUGGCCAAGUGAAUGGCGCAUGCAAGGCAGCGUAAAGGCUGGCUAUGCAAUGCUAGUCUCAAACAAUGAGUGUUGCAACAUGCCACAAAGUACAGAACACCAGGUUCGAACAAUGAGAGUUGUGAUAUGCCAGGAACAUGCUAAGGACAAAGGACUGCCAAGAACAUGCCAAAGACAGUCAGAAAUGCUAGGAUUCAGAUGAACACCCAAAAGGACUAUAUAAGAUGAGACUUUUCAGAUAGGUCUGUGUGCCGGACAUACGACAGCGCUGGCGUCCGCCACCCAUAACUCUUACUGGAAACUGAUGAAUUCCAGUGAAGAGUGGCAAGUAUGGAUGAGUGUGUGGUUGUGUGCGUAACUAAGUGCAUGUUCCCUGUCUUGGUAUAUGUUAUGUUUGUUAAUAAUAAAUUAUAUUGUA